GAGUUUGAUCAUGGCUCAGGAUGAACGCUGGCGGCAGGCCUAACACAUGCAAGUCGAGCGGAUGAGAGGAGCUUGCUCCUUGAUUCAGCGGCGGACGGGUGAGUAAUGCCUAGGAAUCUGCCUGAUAGUGGGGGACAACGUUUCGAAAGGAACGCUAAUACCGCAUACGUCCUACGGGAGAAAGCAGGGGACCUUCGGGCCUUGCGCUAUCAGAUGAGCCUAGGUCGGAUUAGCUAGUAGGUGAGGUAAUGGCUCACCUAGGCGACGAUCCGUAACUGGUCUGAGAGGAUGAUCAGCCACACUGGGACUGAGACACGGCCCAGACUCCUACGGGAGGCAGCAGUGGGGAAUAUUGGACAAUGGGCGAAAGCCUGAUCCAGCAAUGCCGCGUGAGUGAUGAAGGCCUUAGGGUUGUAAAGCUCUUUUACCAGGGAUGAUAAUGACAGUACCUGGAGAAUAAGCUCCGGCUAACUCCGUGCCAGCCGCCGCCGU
This 492-nucleotide ribosomal RNA is filed under the name uncultured Gammaproteobacteria bacterium. RNAcentral's name for it is "bacterial SSU rRNA". It matches the Rfam family "Bacterial small subunit ribosomal RNA", at positions 9 to 521 of the family's 1533-position model. Lineage: Bacteria; Pseudomonadati; Pseudomonadota; Gammaproteobacteria. The record is from RNAcentral.